This 468-nucleotide ribosomal RNA is filed under the name uncultured bacterium. Its description in RNAcentral is "partial 16S ribosomal RNA". It matches the Rfam family "Bacterial small subunit ribosomal RNA", at positions 28 to 507 of the family's 1533-position model. The record is from RNAcentral.
GACGAACGCUGGCGGCGUGCUUAACACAUGCCAGUCGAACGGAAAGGCCCUGCUUUUGUGGGGUGCUCGAGUGGCGAACGGGUGAGUAACACGUGAGUAACCUGCCCUUGACUUUGGGAUAACUUCAGGAAACUGGGGCUAAUACCGGAUAGGAGCUCCUGCUGCAAGGUGGGGGUUGGAAAGUUUCGGCGGUUGGGGAUGGACUCGCGGCUUAUCAGCUUGUUGGUGGGGUAGUGGCUUACCAAGGCUUUGACGGGUAGCCGGCCUGAGAGGGUGACCGGCCACAUUGGGACUGAGAUACGGCCCAGACUCCUACGGGAGGCAGCAGUGGGGAAUAUUGCACAAUGGGCGGAAGCCUGAUGCAGCAACGCCGCGUGCGGGAUGACGGCCUUCGGGUUGUAAACCGCUUUCGCCUGUGACGAAGCGUGAGUGACGGUAAUGGGUAAAGAAGCACCGGCUAACUACGUG